RNAcentral lists this ribosomal RNA (641 nucleotides) under uncultured bacterium. RNAcentral's name for it is "partial 16S ribosomal RNA". The stretch from base 24 to 548 matches the Rfam family "Bacterial small subunit ribosomal RNA", at positions 31 to 542 of the family's 1533-position model. The record is from RNAcentral.
GGGGGCACGGGGGGGCUUUUUUUGAACGCUGGCGGCGCGCCUAAAACAUGCAAGUCGUACGAGAAAGUUCUUCGGAAUGAGUAGAGUGGCGCACGGGUGAGUAACACGUGGAUAACCUACCUUAAGGACUGGGAUAACGUUUCGAAAGAAUCGCUAAUACCAGAUGAUGAUCGGAGAUCAGUGGAGGUCUUCAAUUGAAAACAUGGUUUCAUGGCCUAAAGAGGGGUCUGCGUCCCAUUAGCUUGUUGGUGAGGUAAAAGCUUAUCCAAGGCUCGGAUGGGUAGCUGGUCUGAGAGGAUGAUCAGCCACACUGGAACUGAAACACGGUCCAGACUCCUACGGGAGGCAGCAGUUGGGAAUAUUGCGCAAUGGGGGAGACCCUGACGCAGCUGACGCCGCGUGAGUGAAGAAGGCCUUNUGGUUGUAAAGCUCUGUCNGAAGGGGAAGAACGCAUAGAUUUAAUAAAUCGGUGUUGACGGUNCCUUCAUAGGAANCACCGGCUAACUCUGUGCCANUCANCNNCCGUNAUACNUAGGCNUGCCNNCGNUNCUCCNNAGUACUGGCGUAAAAGAGUNCCUAGUCGGACCAACUANUCNGGGGGUNAANCCCCGGNUCCUAUCCCCNGAUCUGCUUNGUNNACC